GAUGAACGCUAGCGGCAGGCUUAAUACAUGCAAGUCGAACGGCAGCGGGUGUAGCAAUACAUGCCGGCGAGUGGCAGACGGGUGAGGAACACGUACACAACCUCCCUCUUACUUGGGCACAACUCCGAGAAAUCGGGGCUAAUUCCCCAUAACAUCCCGAUAAGACAUCUUAAUGGGAUUAAAACUCCGGUGGUAAGAGAUGGGUGUGCGUCUGAUUAGCUAGUUGGUGAGGUAACGGCCCACCAAGGCAACGAUCAGUAACUGGUGUGAGAGCACGACCAGUCACACGGGCACUGAGAUACGGGCCCGACUCCUACGGGAGGCAGCAGUAAGGAUAUGUCAAUGGGCGCAAGCCUGAACCAGCCAUGCCGCGUGAAGGAUGAA
RNAcentral lists this ribosomal RNA (384 nucleotides) under uncultured bacterium. RNAcentral's name for it is "bacterial SSU rRNA". It matches the Rfam family "Bacterial small subunit ribosomal RNA", at positions 28 to 412 of the family's 1533-position model. The record is from RNAcentral.